AUCUUCCCCUACUACGGCCGUGAGGAGGAGCUGCGCAAGCACCCCAUCAAGCGUGCCGCCGAGGGCUGGGCCGCACCUGACGCCCUGCUGGGCCAGGUGAAGGCCUCGCUGCUCCCUGAUGGCAGCGGGGGUGGGCGGCGGCGGAGGGAGCUGGACCCCAUGGACGUCCGCGGCUCCAUCGUCUACCUAGAGAUUGACAACCGGCAGUGUGUGCAGGCAUCCUCGCAGUGCUUCCAGAGUGCCACCGACGUGGCCGCGUUCCUGGGAGCACUCGCCUCGCUGGGCAGCCUCAACAUCCCCUACAAGAUCGAGGCUGUGCAGACUCAAUGCGAGUGCAGCGAUUUGAAGUUGACUAAUCCUCCUCCCUUAAAGGAGAAAAAAGUAAAAGCCGUCUCCAGAUACAGUCGGCUGGUGCAGGAGAGAAUUUAGCGAUAGUUUGCAAUUCUGAUUAAUCGCAUAGAAAAUGACCUUAUUUUGGGGGGCGGGAUGGAGGAGAGUGGGUGAGGAGGCGCCUGGCCGCGGAGCCAGUCCGCUGCCCCCCGGCCACCAGCCUGCUGCGUAGCCGCCGCCUGAUGUCUGGGCGCCUGCCCCUGGCCCCCGUGCCCGCAGGUGAGACCGUGGAGCCGCCCCCGCCGGCGCAGCUGCACUUCAU
RNAcentral lists this small RNA (652 nucleotides) under Pongo abelii (Sumatran orangutan). RNAcentral's name for it is "processed transcript". The record is from RNAcentral. Lineage: Eukaryota; Metazoa; Chordata; Mammalia; Primates; Hominidae.